Non-coding RNA from Notechis scutatus (mainland tiger snake), 198 nucleotides. The record is from RefSeq and is a predicted model, not a curated record. NCBI's taxonomy places the organism in Eukaryota, Metazoa, Chordata, Lepidosauria, Squamata, Elapidae.
AGGAAGUUGCAACUAACUGUAUGUAUUCUCCUGCUCAGGUCACAGACAACUGUACCCUUCUGAAGGAAAAAUAUGAUUCAUUUUCCACAAAGGAAUAUCUCAUCAAAGAAGGAAAUUUGAGCACGGGAGCUGUUGAGAUGAUUGGUGAUUUCUUGAAUGAAGAAGCUGGAUUUCAUAACUCAUUCCUUAUUUCUGUUA